GGGGAAACCCAGUGCAAUCCGUUGCACUAUCGUUAACUGAAUACAUAGGUUAACGAGGCGAACCGGGGGAACUGAAACAUCUAAGUACCCCGAGGAAAAGAAAUCAACCGAGAUUCCCCCAGUAGCGGCGAGCGAACGGGGAGCAGCCCGGAGUCUGAAUCAGCUUGUGUGUUAGUGGAACGGUCUGGAAAGUCCGACGGUACAGGGUGAUAGUCCCGUACACGAAAGCACACUUGCUGUGAACUCGAAGAGUAGGGCGGGACACGUGGUAUCCUGUCUGAAUAUGGGGGGACCAUCCUCCAAGGCUAAAUACUCCUGACUGACCGAUAGUGAACCAGUACCGUGAGGGAAAGGCGAAAAGAACCCCGGCGAGGGGAGUGAAAAAGAACCUGAAACCGUGUACGUACAAGCAGUGGGAGCCUCUUUAUGGGGUGACUGCGUACCUUUUGUAUAAUGGGUCAGCGACUUAUAUUCUGUAGCAAGGUUAACCGUAUAGGGGAGCCGAAGGGAAACCGAGUCUUAACUGGGCGUUAAGUUGCAGGGUAUAGACCCGAAACCCGGUGAUCUAGCCAUGGGCAGGUUGAAGGUUGGGUAACACUAACUGGAGGACCGAACCGACUAAUGUUGAAAAAUUAGCGGAUGACCUGUGGCUGGGGGUGAAAGGCCAAUCAAACCGGGAGAUAGCUGGUUCUCCCCGAAAGCUAUUUAGGUAGCGCCUCGUGAACUCAUCUUCGGGGGUAGAGCACUGUUUCGGCUAGGGGGCCAUCCCGGCUUACCAACCCGAUGCAAACUACGAAUACCGAAGAAUGUUAUCACGGGAGACACACGGCGGGUGCUAACGUCCGUCGUGAAGAGGGAAACAACCCAGACCGCCAGCUAAGGUCCCAAAGUCAUGGUUAAGUGGGAAACGAUGUGGGAAGGCACAGACAGCCAGGAUGUUGGCUUAGAAGCAGCCAUCAUUUAAAGAAAGCGUAAUAGCUCACUGGUCGAGUCGGCCUGCGCGGAAGAUGUAACGGGGCUAAACCAUG
Molecule: ribosomal RNA, 1028 nt
Filed under: Enterobacter hormaechei
Lineage: Bacteria; Pseudomonadati; Pseudomonadota; Gammaproteobacteria; Enterobacterales; Enterobacteriaceae
Also listed under: 2 other names
Description: partial 23S ribosomal RNA
Rfam family: Bacterial large subunit ribosomal RNA
Source: RNAcentral